CCUAUUGUGUGUCUGGUAAAGAUCAAUUAAUCCACACACUGCAUGCAGCUGUGGGUAUUAAAUUUAAACUCAGCACUGUGUCUCAUAUUUAUUUUAAAUGCUCGGAAACAAGGUCUCUCCAGCUUCUCUUCUGGGCUCUGAGCCAAGUAUAAUGACUGAGAAUACAAAUGGAACAGACGAUUCCCAGUCUCAGUGUUGCAACAGUCAGGUGUCACUGUUUGGAUGCGGCUCGGACCCACCCAGUUCCAUGGAGCUCUUUCCUGACACCCACAGUCAACCACAGAGUCAGGUUGUGGACAAGUUUCUUCAGCGAUCCACCACACAGCAAAGAUCAAAAGCUAUAGCUUCUAAAAUUGAUUCUAGACAACUGAAGUUGCAGCCAAAGAUUCCCCUAAACCGGAUGUUUUUUUCCAAGUAUCUCAAGUCUUCCAAGCCAGAGCAACAAAAGACUAUGAGAAAGUCUGAAGAUUCUCAAACAAGCAGAUCCAAUCAGAGUUAUGAAGUGUGGAAGACAACGCAAGCGGAUAAAUUUGAGAACCAACAUUUUAUGGAUGAAAUUCAGAAAGCAGUGAAAGAAGGAAUGAAAGAGGUAAAGAGUGAACUCAAGAAUGAUAUUGAAGAGCUGAGAGCAGCAGUUGCUGAGCAACAGUCAGGGAUCACAAGGAAUCAGAAAUUUUCAUCUCAAAUCAUUACAAGUAUAGCGGAUCUAAAGCAGUGUGUGGAGCAAUGUUAUCAGGAAAGAGUAAACUCACAUGCGAUGCCUACAUGGCUACAAUCCCAGAAUGCCGUGCUGUCUUUAAAGCUUGAUGGGCUGUUUGAAGACCUUCACAAGAGAGUUCAGAGUCUAGAAACCCUAAUUGGAGGUUCUCUAACACGAAACACUGCAUCUACAAGCAGCAUUUCUUCAUUUCAAAAGUCCAUUUAUACUCAACCUGAGCCAGAGAGAGGGGAACCAAUCUCAGCAGCAAGAUGCAUUAGUGGAAAUGAUCAAGCUGUUCCUUUGCGAAAAGAUUUGUUGAGCUAUCAAGGUGAUACUUUCAAAGUGCAUACUCAACAAGCUCAUUCAAAGGACUGUUUAGCCAAAAAGGUUUCACCGACUAGUACUGAUCAGAAAGUCAUCUCUACCGUGUGUGACGCAGACCUCACAAAACAGUACUCCUUGUCAGCAUGCAGCCAGAUGAUUCCUGGCAUACUUAAACUGGAAGAAAGAAAUAGACAAAUCAAAAAUGGCGCUAAUUCGGAGAAAAUAAAAGGGAUAAAUAAGCGAAAGAUUAUAAAGAGCGAGAAAGCUAAUACACGGCGUUCUCAACGUUUGAAGCGAAGUACACCCCAGUACUAUGAAAAUGAAAGCAGUGAUGCGGACUACUCGUUUCAACCAAAGAGGAAAGCUUCUCAGGCAAAACAGAGGCAACAAAAAUCAAGAACACAGUUGGUAAAAACUCCUCAAGGUGAACUGGAUAACUACAUCUUCUCGCAGACACCCAUAGUUUCUCCAAAGUUUGCAGCAGCUAUCGUUGAGCAGCCCAAAACUGGGAAACUAAACUCAACAACCAAGGAGUCAGUAGAGAAGGUCUAUCGCAGCAAAGAAGCAGCCAGACAAAUGUUUGAAGCACAUCUGGAGUUAAUUAUGACUUCAGUAGACUCACCUUCGGGACAGUGCAGUUUGGCAGAAAUUCAGAAAAAUGGCUUCAGCUGACAUUCUUCAAACCCAUGGCUCAUUUAAUGGCUCUUUCCAUUUACUAAAUCACACCCUAACGUCAUAUCCGGCCGUAUUAUGAUUAUUAUAAAAUGGUUAGGACUGACCAGUAUACGGAAUAGCAAGAUGGCUGCAUUUCAGGUUGAGUAUUGAGUGUUUCGUGCACCAAUGAUCAUCUAGCUAGCAAUUCAUGCCAAAGAAAAGUAUAUUAUACCUUAAGGUGGCUUAUUUUCAGAGGUAAUUUGUCUGCAAUUUCACUGUUCAGCUCAUUUUCUAUAGUGUUUCUAAUUACUUGCAGGUUUUAUAAUGAGAUUCAUUGCAUUUUGCAAACUCUCAUUCACAGAAAUUAAUACUCCCAAAAAAUGUCACCUUAAUUAAUGAUUGAGGAUUGUCCAGUCCUGACUCCGCUCUCCUGAAGUUCAGUAGUGCUAUAAUAAAGCAGCAGCAAGAAGGUUAUUUCAGUGACUGAUCAAUCAUACCCAUCAUCAAUCAUCACCUAAUGUCACCAAAGCCAUGUUAGAAUGAACAAUCGUUUGUUCUAUAAAUUAAAAAGUAUGUUUUAUAGACAUCUGUACAGC
Molecule: RNA transcript, 2274 nt
Organism: Halichondria panicea
Lineage: Eukaryota; Metazoa; Porifera; Demospongiae; Suberitida; Halichondriidae
Exons: 11
Source: RefSeq, a predicted model, not a curated record